Molecule: ribosomal RNA, 358 nt
Filed under: Klebsiella pneumoniae
Lineage: Bacteria; Pseudomonadati; Pseudomonadota; Gammaproteobacteria; Enterobacterales; Enterobacteriaceae
Description: partial 23S ribosomal RNA
Rfam family: Bacterial large subunit ribosomal RNA
Source: RNAcentral
UGUUUCGGCUAGGGGGUCAUCCCGACUUACCAACCCGAUGCAAACUACGAAUACCGAAGAAUGUUAUCACGGGAGACACACGGCGGGUGCUAACGUCCGUCGUGAAGAGGGAAACAACCCAGACCGCCAGCUAAGGUCCCAAAGUCAUGGUUAAGUGGGAAACGAUGUGGGAAGGCACAGACAGCCAGGAUGUUGGCUUAGAAGCAGCCAUCAUUUAAAGAAAGCGUAAUAGCUCACUGGUCGAGUCGGCCUGCGCGGAAGAUGUAACGGGGCUAAACCAUGCACCGAAGCUGCGGCAGCGACACUAUGUGUUGUUGGGUAGGGGAGCGUUCUGUAAGCCUGCGAAGGUGACCUGUGA